CACCAUGGCAUCACCAUGAUGGCCUCACCACCAUGGCAUCACCUCAAUGGCAUCACCAUGAUGGCCUCACCACCAUGGCAUCACCUCCAUGGCAUCACCAUGAUCAUGGUAUCACCCCAAUGACAUCACUGUGAUGGCCUCACCAUCAUGGCAUCACCGCGAUGGCAUCACCAUGAUGGCAUCGCCACCAUGGCAUCAUCACCAUGGCAUCACCAUGAUGGUCUCACCACAAUGGCAUCACCACCAUGGCAUCACCAUGAUGGCAUCACCACCAUGACAUCACCACGAUGGCAUCACCACCAUGGCCUCACCAUGAUGGUCUCACUGCCAUGGCACCACCAUGAUGGCAUCACCACCACGGCAUCUCCACGCUGCCCAGGCCGGCACCCCCGGGGCUCUGUGUGUGGGGAAACCCCAACACCACGACCGUCCCGGCUGGGGCUGCCCGGGGGUGGGCACGGGGCUGCUGCCAGCCUGCCCGGGUGGGCAGGGGGCUCCAGAACCUCUGCCCGGAGCCGCUCCUGCCUCAUGGGGAGCCCUGGCAGCACUCCUGGCUCUUCUCACAUGGGAAUGGAGAGCGGCACCGCCGGCAGCUGCAGCCGAGCGCGACUUUCCCAGCGGACCUGCCUGCCUGGGAACGCAGAGCAGCAGACAGACAGGUUCCUGGAAAGGGCCGGGCCUGCUGGAUCCCAAAUUUGGGAUGCUGGUGCCCAGCCAAGCCCGCCUGCCAGUCCUGACCAUCCCGUGGGGCAUCUCCAGGCACCUGAAUGCCCACAGGACCCCGGCUUGUGCAGCUGGAAAUGGGCAAUGGCGACCCCCAGCUCCUCGAGGGUCCGGGGCUGCUCCCUGAGGAGCCUUAAGUCUGAUAUUUGCGCUCCUGAGGAGAAAUGGGAAGUUUGGAUAUUUGAGCUCAUCUCAGGGAUGCACAGGGUGGGGUUUUGGCAUCCGCCAAAUCGACCCGCGAGUCCCGCCAGCCCUCGGGGAGCCCCGCGAUCAAUGAUUUCUCUCAUCUUAUCUCCCCGGCUUUCCCUUGUGCGCCCUCCCCUCGCUGCCUCCCCCUCCUUUGCAGCCAGCCCCGCUUCCCCUCCAGCCCCGGCUUUGAUCCCGGGAAGCAGCAAUUGAUCCUCCUUAUCUUUAUUGUGGGACAGACAUUCCCGGCACUGCCCUUAAUUAAAUUCCUCCUCAUUUUCCCCCCCGCGAGCCUCUCCCCCCUCCGCAAACCCAGGCGAGGAUUUGUUUUUAAAGCUGCAAUUAAAGGAUGAGAUUUGGCCACGAGUGGGACCCGUGCUGGGGGCAAGCUCGGGGCUGCCGGGGCCACACGAGCUCGGGGGGCUGCUGGUCACCCUGCGGGGCUGGCACCGCUCACAGUGGCCAUGGUGGCACUGGCACUGGUCACAGUGACACGGGGAUGGCCCACAGUGGCACUGGCACUGGCCAGGGUGGCACAGGCACAACUCCUGGUGGCAUUGGCAUUGGUCACAGUGACAGGGGGAUGGCCCACAGUGGCACAGGCACUGGCCAGGGUGGCAUUGGCACUGGCCAUGGUGGCACUGGCACUGGCCAUGGUGGCACUGGCACUUGUCACAGCAACAUGGGGAGGUCACACUGUAGCCCAAGCACUGGCUAUGGUAGCACAGGCACAAAUCGUGGUGGCACUGGCCCUGGUCAUGGUGGCAUUGGCACUUGCCAUAGGGGGAAUUUGCAUCUGCCGUGGUCACAGUGACAUGGGGAUGGCCCACAGUGGCACAGGCACUGGCCAGGGUGGCACAGNNNNNNNNNNCAUGGGGAUGGCCCACAGUGGCACAGGCACUGGCCAGGGUGGCACAGGUCACCUGCCAUGGUGACACUGGCAUUGUUCACAGCGACAUGGGGAUGGCCCACAGUGGCACAUGCACCUGCCGUGGUGGCCCUGGCCACGCCAGGUGGCCACGGUGCCGUGGCUGUGGCCACUUUGAGCUUUUCCGCUCGGAAACGUCUCCCGCAGACGCUGACCCGCAGGGCAGGGAGCGUUUCUCAUGUGGAACAGCCCAAAUUCCCCCGGAGACAGCGCAGGAAUGCGAGGCACGUUACCCUCGGUACCAGCUCUCGCUUCUUACGGCCUAAGCUCCGCCACGCCGCCGGG
Molecule: long non-coding RNA, 2122 nt
Organism: Chloebia gouldiae (Gouldian finch)
Lineage: Eukaryota; Metazoa; Chordata; Aves; Passeriformes; Passeridae
Source: Ensembl